AAUUUUCGGCAAUGGGGGCAACCCUGACCGAGCGACGCCGCGUGAGUGACGAAGGUCUUCGGUUUGUAAAGCUCUGUUGUAUGGGAAGAACCGUACAAGUCGGGAAUGCCUGGUAACUGACGGUACCCUACCAGCAAGCCACGGCUAACUACGUGCCAGCAGCCGCGGUAAUACGUAGGUGGCAAGCGUUAUCCUGAAUUAUUGGGCGUAAAGGAGGCUCAGGCGGCUUAUUAAGUCUGAGGUUAAAGUUCGGGGCUCAACCCCGUGAUGCCUGAGAAACUGGUAGGCUAGAGUGCAGGAGAGGUAAGUGGAAUUCCAUGUGUAUCGGUAAAAUGCGUAGAUAUAUGGAGGAACACAAGUGGCGAAGGCAGCUCACUGGCCUGUAACUGACGCUGAGGCUCGAAAGCGUGGGGAGCAAAUA
Molecule: ribosomal RNA, 421 nt
Filed under: uncultured bacterium
Lineage: Bacteria
Description: partial 16S ribosomal RNA
Rfam family: Bacterial small subunit ribosomal RNA
Source: RNAcentral